GAUGAACGCUAGCGGCAGGCCUAACACAUGCAAGUCGAGGGGCAGCACAGAAACAGCAAUGUUUUGGUGGCGACCGGCGGACGGGUGCGUAACGCGUAUGCAACCUACCUUUAACAGGGGGAUAACGGAGAGAAAUUUCCACUAAUACCCCAUAACAUCGAUCAAGGCAUCUUGAUUGGUUGAAAACUCCGGUGGUUAAAGAUGGGCAUGCGUUGUGUUAGGUAGUUGGUGAGGUAAUGGCUCACCAAGCCUACGAUACAUAGGGGGACUGAGAGGUUAGCCCCCCACACUGGUACUGAGACACGGACCAGACUCCUACGGGAGGCAGCAGUGAGGAAUAUUGGUCAAUGGGGGCAACCUUGAACCAGCCAUGCCGCGUGCAGGAAGACGGCUCUAUGAGUUGUAAACUGCUUUUAAACAGGGAUAAAGCACAGUAUGUAUACUGUGUUGAAGGUACUGUAAGAAUAAGGAUCGGCUAACUCCGUGCCAGCCGCCGCUGUAA
This 502-nucleotide ribosomal RNA is filed under the name uncultured bacterium. RNAcentral's name for it is "partial 16S ribosomal RNA". It matches the Rfam family "Bacterial small subunit ribosomal RNA", at positions 28 to 523 of the family's 1533-position model. The record is from RNAcentral.